RNAcentral lists this ribosomal RNA (253 nucleotides) under uncultured bacterium. RNAcentral's name for it is "partial 16S ribosomal RNA". It matches the Rfam family "Bacterial small subunit ribosomal RNA", at positions 524 to 776 of the family's 1533-position model. The record is from RNAcentral.
UACGGAGGGAGCUAGCGUUGUUCGGAAUUACUGGGCGUAAAGCGCACGUAGGCGGCUUUGUAAGUUAGGGGUGAAAGCCCGGAGCUCAACUCCGGAAUUGCCUUUAAGACUGCAUCGCUAGAAUCGUGGAGAGGUGAGUGGAAUUCCGAGUGUAGAGGUGAAAUUCGUAGAUAUUCGGAAGAACACCAGUGGCGAAGGCGACUCACUGGACACGUAUUGACGCUGAGGUGCGAAAGCGUGGGGAGCAAACAGG